UUAUAGUGUAAAUAGUAUCUGCAUUAGUUUAUACUUUGUCAAUGCAGAUGUAACUGGUACAAUCUUGGAAGCCUUGGUGAGACGGCACAGGUUUCACCAAUCUGGCCGUAUUUAUUCACCAUUCUCUUCUAAGAGAAUAAACAGCCAUCAGCUCACA
Haliotis rufescens (red abalone) is the source of this 157-nucleotide long non-coding RNA. RefSeq lists it as uncharacterized. Lineage: Eukaryota; Metazoa; Mollusca; Gastropoda; Lepetellida; Haliotidae. The transcript is spliced from 2 exons. The record is from RefSeq and is a predicted model, not a curated record.